Molecule: ribosomal RNA, 627 nt
Filed under: Rhynchogastrema tunnelae
Lineage: Eukaryota; Fungi; Basidiomycota; Tremellomycetes; Tremellales; Rhynchogastremaceae
Description: eukaryotic LSU rRNA
Rfam family: Eukaryotic large subunit ribosomal RNA
Source: RNAcentral
UAAGCGGAGGAAAAGAAACUAACAAGGAUUCCCCUAGUAACGGCGAGUGAACCGGGAAGAGCUCAAAUUUGAAAUCUGGCGUCCUUCGGGCGUCCGAGUUGUAAUCUAUAGAGGCGUUUUCCGUGCCGGACCGUGUCUAAGUCCCUUGGAACAGGGUAUCAAAGAGGGUGACAAUCCCGUACUUGACACGACGACCGGUGCUCUGUGAUACGUCUUCUACGAGUCGAGUUGUUUGGGAAUGCAGCUCAAAAUGGGUGGUGAGUUCCAUCUAAAGCUAAAUAUUGGCGAGAGACCGAUAGCGAACAAGUACCGUGAGGGAAAGAUGAAAAGCACUUUGGAAAGAGAGUUAAACAGUACGUGAAAUUGUUGAAAGGGAAACGAUUGAAGUCAGUCGUGACUGUUGGGCUCAGCCGGUUCUGCCGGUGUAUUCCCUUCAGUCGGGUCAACAUCAGUUUUAAUCGGUGGAUAAGGGCAGCAGGAACGUAGCACCUUCGGGUGUGUUAUAGCCUGUCGUCGCAUACAUCGGUCGAGACUGAGGAACGCAGCUCGCCUUUAUGGCCGGGGUUCGCCCACGUCCGAGCUUAGGAUGUUGACAUAAUGGCUUUAAACGACCCGUCUUGAAACACG